GACGAACGCUGGCGGCGUGCUUAACACAUGCAAGUCGAACGGACAGGCUCUACUUUUGUGUGGUGCUCGAUUGGCGAACGGGUGCGUAACGCGUGAGUACCCUGCCCUUGACUUUGGGAUAACUUCAGGAAACUGGGGCUAAUACCGGAUAGGAGCUCCUGCUGCUUGGUGUUGCUUGGUAAUUUUCGGAGGUUGGGAAUGGCACCGCGGCGUAUCAGAUCGUAGGUGAGGUAGUGGCUUACCAAGGUGAUGACGGAUAGACGAACGGAGAGGGUGACCGGCGACACUGGGGCGGAGACACGGCCCAGAGUCCUGAGGGAGGGCGCAGUAGGGAAUGUUCGGCAAUGGAGGAGAGUAUGACCGAGCAGGGCCGCGUGAGGGAAGAAGGUGUUCGGAGCGUGAAGCUCUGUUGUAAGAGAAGAACGGGUGUGAGAGUGGAAAGUGCACAAUGUGACGGUAUCGGGACAGAAAGGGGCGGCGAACUACGU
Molecule: ribosomal RNA, 488 nt
Filed under: uncultured bacterium
Lineage: Bacteria
Description: partial 16S ribosomal RNA
Rfam family: Bacterial small subunit ribosomal RNA
Source: RNAcentral